UCCAAUCAUCUUCUUCAAUUACUUUAGGUUUCAAUCAACAUUGUCAUAUUACAUGAAGUCUUCCUAAAAAAUGUACCAUGCAUCUAGUUAUAGAAGAUAGAAUAGAAAUUGUAACAACACAAUUCUAACUCUAAUAUAAUGUUAAAUAAACUCUAAUUAAACCUCAAUUAUACUAAGCAAGCUUUAAUCAAAUUCAAAAAAAUCUUAAAGAAAUUAUAAAAGAAACAAUAAAAAAUCUUAAAGGAGUUCAAAAGAAAUCUACAAUAAAUCUUAAAAGAAUCCCUAAAAAUCCUAAAGAAAUAUUAGAAUAAUUACAAAUAUAUCUUAAAUAAAGCUCAACCAAGUCCUAUUUUAAUCUUAGUUGAAACUUUAAUAGACUUCAAUCAAAUUCUAGGCCAAACUCUAAAUCCUAAGUAAAUUCUAAAUCCUAAAUCUUAAGAAAAUCAUAAAUAAAAUCCUAAAUCCUAGUCCAAUCCUAAACCCUAAUUAAACCUUAAUCAAAUAUGAAAAAAACUCUAAAUCCAAGAUCCUAAAUAAAUCCUAAAUUCUAAGCAAAUCCUAAUUCAAAUCCUAAAUCUUAGUCAAGUCUUAAAUUCUAACCAAACCUUUACCAAAUCCUAAAUCCU
Molecule: long non-coding RNA, 626 nt
Filed under: Physcomitrium patens
Lineage: Eukaryota; Viridiplantae; Streptophyta; Bryopsida; Funariales; Funariaceae
Description: long non-coding RNA (PPAT_LNC013101)
Source: RNAcentral